GAUCCUGGCUCAGGAUGAACGCUGGCGGCGUGCUUAACACAUGCAAGUCGAACGGGAAACCUAUUAUUGAAACUUCGGUCGAUUUAAUUUGUUUCUAGUGGCGGACGGGUGAGUAACGCGUGGGUAACCUGCCCUAUACAGGGGGAUAACAGCCAGAAAUGGUUGCUAAUACCGCAUAAGCGCACAGGACCGCAUGGUCCGGUGUGAAAAACUCCGGUGGUAUAGGAUGGACCCGCGUUGGAUUAGCUAGUCGGCAGGG
Molecule: ribosomal RNA, 259 nt
Filed under: uncultured bacterium
Lineage: Bacteria
Description: partial 16S ribosomal RNA
Rfam family: Bacterial small subunit ribosomal RNA
Source: RNAcentral